Molecule: non-coding RNA, 31 nt
Filed under: Mus musculus (house mouse)
Lineage: Eukaryota; Metazoa; Chordata; Mammalia; Rodentia; Muridae
Source: RNAcentral
UGGGAUCUAGUUUUCACAUGAACUCCACAUC